This 422-nucleotide ribosomal RNA is filed under the name uncultured bacterium. RNAcentral describes it as "partial 16S ribosomal RNA". It matches the Rfam family "Bacterial small subunit ribosomal RNA", at positions 360 to 775 of the family's 1533-position model. The record is from RNAcentral.
AAUUUUCGGCAAUGGACGAAAGUCUGACCGAGCAACGCCGCGUGAGUGAUGAAGGCCUUCGGGUCGUCAAGCUCUGUGGUAAAGGAAGAACAUCACAGAUAGGAAAUGAUCUGUGCCUGACGGUACUUUACUAGAAAGUCACGGCUUACUACGUGCCAGCAGCCGCGGUAAUACGUAGGUGGCAAGCGUUAUCCGGAUUUAUUGGGCGUAAAGGGUGCGCAGGCGGUUUGUUUAGUCUGAGGUGAAAGCGUUGAGCUCAACUCAAUUAAGCCUCAGAUACUGGCAAACUAGAGUGCAGAAGAGGGUUAUGGAAUUCCAUGUGUAGCGGUAAAAUGCGUAGAUAUAUGGAGGAACACCGGCGGCGAAGGCGGUAACCUGGUCUGUUACUGACGCUCAGGCACGAAAGCGUGGGGAGCAAAUAG